CUUACUUUUUUCCAUGUCUUCACAGAAUUUCCUUACUUUUUCCCCUGUGAACUGCGUUCCAUUAUCUGUUACUUUUGCCCUAAGGCUUUUUCAUUUUGGCGGGAGGCCUUAUUUGGUCUUCUGACCUUACUGCCCUAAGGCUUUCUUCCUUACAGAAUUUCCUUACUUUUUUCCCUGUCUUCACAGAAUUUCCUUACUUUUUUCCCUGUGAACUGCGUUCCAUUAUCUGUUACUUUUGCCCUAAGGCUUUUUCAUUUUGGCGGGAGGCCUUAUUUGGUCUUCUGACC
This 287-nucleotide long non-coding RNA is filed under the name Zostera marina. Its description in RNAcentral is "long non-coding RNA (ZMAR_LNC001654)". The record is from RNAcentral. Lineage: Eukaryota; Viridiplantae; Streptophyta; Magnoliopsida; Alismatales; Zosteraceae.